Molecule: transfer RNA, 76 nt
Filed under: Verrucomicrobiaceae bacterium
Lineage: Bacteria; Pseudomonadati; Verrucomicrobiota; Verrucomicrobiia; Verrucomicrobiales; Verrucomicrobiaceae
Description: tRNA-Glu
Rfam family: tRNA
About the family: Transfer RNA (tRNA) molecules are approximately 80 nucleotides in length. Their secondary structure includes four short double-helical elements and three loops (D, anti-codon, and T loops).
Source: RNAcentral
CACCGCGUCGUCUAGCCAGACAGGACGUCGGCCUUUCAAGCCGAGAACACGGGAGCGAAACCCGUCGCGGUGGCCA